This 459-nucleotide ribosomal RNA is filed under the name uncultured bacterium. Its description in RNAcentral is "partial 16S ribosomal RNA". It matches the Rfam family "Bacterial small subunit ribosomal RNA", at positions 338 to 795 of the family's 1533-position model. The record is from RNAcentral.
CCUACGGGUGGCAGCAGUGAGGAAUAUUGGUCAAUGGCCGGGAGGCUGAACCAGCCAAGUCGCGUGAGGGAAGAAGGCCCUACGGGUUGUAAACCUCUUUUGUCGGGGAGCAAAGCCAACCACGUGUGGUUCAUUGAGAUUACUCGAAGAAAAAGCAUCGGCUAACUCCGUGCCAGCAGCCGCGGUAAUCCGGAGGAUGCGAGCGUUAUCCGGAUUUAUUGGGUUUAAAGGGUGCGUAGGCGGAGGGUAAAGUCAGCGGUAACAUUGCGGGGCUCAACCCCGUACUGCCGUUGAAACUGGAUGCCUUGAGUGCGCGAGAGGUAUGCGGAAUGCGUGGUGUAGCGGUGAAAUGCAUAGAUAUCACGCAGAACUCCGAUUGCGAAGGCAGCAUACCGGCGCGCAACUGACGCUCAUGCACGAAAGCGUGGGUAUCGAACAGGAUUAGAUACCCCAGUAGUC